CGGAAGUGCAGCAGCAUCAACGCCAGGACCACUUUCAUCUCCGCCAUGGCGAACGCCUGCCCGAUGCAGUUCCUGCAGGCGGGAGUGGGGACUGUGACUGUGCCCAAGUCCCGCAUUUGGGUCCCAUCAACCCAGGAACCUGGCCUGGGACCCCCAACUGCACCCAGCUCAGCCUGAGAGAUAGAGAGAAAGACUAAGCGUGCCUGGGACUCCCAUGUGGGCUUGUAUGUCCCGGAGACUGGGCCUGACUCCAGCUCCCAGCUCAGACCAGCAGAUGGAGAAGGGGAUUUUGAGCACUCCGCCGACCCCUCUAGGACCUACUCAUCCCCAUUCUAUGGACGUUUUCCCAUAAACUGUGAAGGAAUGGAGGGAAGGAGAGCUGGAACUGGGACCAUCUGCAACGUCCCCCUUUUUUUAACUCCCGCACCCAUCAUCCCAUCCCUGCCUCAGACACAGGGCGCUCUUACCUGGGCCCUGCGGAGAACGGAAUAAAAGCCAGAGGGGACCUCCCCUUGCUGUUCUCUGGGUCAAAGCGGAAGGGGUCGUAGACCUGCAGGAUCGCGGUCCUUCAGAAGCUCUUGCACCUCCUGUCGGC
RNAcentral lists this long non-coding RNA (595 nucleotides) under Pan troglodytes (chimpanzee). RNAcentral's name for it is "long non-coding RNA NONPTRT008405". Lineage: Eukaryota; Metazoa; Chordata; Mammalia; Primates; Hominidae. The record is from RNAcentral.